RNAcentral lists this ribosomal RNA (497 nucleotides) under uncultured bacterium. RNAcentral's name for it is "partial 16S ribosomal RNA". It matches the Rfam family "Bacterial small subunit ribosomal RNA", at positions 28 to 507 of the family's 1533-position model. The record is from RNAcentral.
GAUGAACGCUGGCGGCGUGCCUAACACAUGCAAGUCGAGCGAACAGACGGGGCGUUUGCUCGGUCGACGUGAGGGGCGGGCGGGUGAGUCACACGUAGGUAACCUGCCUAGAAGGCUGGGAUAAGUUAGGGAAAGCGGAGAUAACAUCGGAUAAGAUUGCGAACCGCGUGGUUCGUUAGAGAAAGAUGGCUUUGCUGACACUUAUUGGUGGUCCUUCGCUGUAUUAGCUAGUUGGUAAGGUAACGGCCUACCAAGGCAACGAUACGUGGCCGAUCUGAGAGGGUGAUCGGCCACACUGGAACUGAGACACGGUCCAGACUCCUACGGGAGGCAGCAGUGGGGAAUAUUGGGCAAUGGGCGAAAGCCUGACGCAGCAAUGCCGCGUGAGUGAUGAAGGUCUUCGGAUCGUAAAGCUCUGUUAUUAGGGAAGAACAACCGUGAAAUUAACCGUGCACGUCUUGACGGUACCUACUCAAAAAGCCACGGCUAACUACGUG